Myotis davidii is the source of this 673-nucleotide long non-coding RNA. RefSeq lists it as uncharacterized. The record is from RefSeq and is a predicted model, not a curated record. The transcript is spliced from 2 exons. Lineage: Eukaryota; Metazoa; Chordata; Mammalia; Chiroptera; Vespertilionidae.
AACCUCGUGCCGUCAUCCCAUUGGUCAAUUCUGACAUAAAGCAUUCAGCUCUGCCAGAGGGUCCGCAAAUCUGAGCCUCUAUCCUCCCGGCCGAUCCCUUGUCCACGGCUACCCGACCCCUGGAAAUCGGAACCGGCUACCCGACCCCUGGAAAUCAGAACCGCAGCGUCACCAUCUCAGAAUUCCCGGCGUCGACGCGGUGGGACUCUUAGUUCCUGGUGGUGGAUCGUAGAGUGCGGGCAGGAAGCCAAAUUUCCUAUUUGCUCCUGGGAAGACUUUUCUGUGACUACCUCCUCUGCCCUGUCUGGCUCCUCCCUCGCAGUCCAGGUAAAAGGUCAUCUUGUAUUACUUUUCUAAUAAAACCCGUUUUUAUUUCAUUGCCUCUUCCAGCAUCUUCUCUGACACCUCCAGCUCGAACCCAGCCGAAGUAUCUUCCGAGAGCCUUCUGUGAUGUUCUCAGCUUAGGGCCAUCCCUUCCUCAUUUCAUCCUCUGAAUCCGGCAAACGCCUAGCAACUCUCCUAGGAAAUGUGUCUCCUAAGGCUGAAUGCAAAUGUGAAAAAAUAAUAGUGUGCAACAAUUAAGGAAUCCACACACCUUCUCUCAAGCCAGACCUGGGUCAUUUCUGGCAAAUGUGAUGAGAAUACAACCAUCACCACCAAAAAACCCCACAAA